UCGAGCGUCAUUACAACCCUCAAGCUCAGCUUGGUGUUGGGCUCGCCCCUUUGCGGGCCCGCCUCAAAAUCAGUGGCGGCUCCGUCCGGUCUUAAGCGCAGUAAUGCUCGUCGCUUGCUAGGCCUGGACGGCGGCCCGCCAGCAACCCCCAACUUAACAAGAUUGACCUCGGAUCAGGUAGGGAUACCCGCUGAACUUAA
Molecule: unclassified non-coding RNA, 200 nt
Filed under: soil metagenome
Description: partial contains internal transcribed spacer 2 and large subunit ribosomal RNA
Source: RNAcentral